RNAcentral lists this ribosomal RNA (496 nucleotides) under Bacillus cereus. RNAcentral describes it as "bacterial SSU rRNA". It matches the Rfam family "Bacterial small subunit ribosomal RNA", at positions 16 to 492 of the family's 1533-position model. The record is from RNAcentral. Lineage: Bacteria; Bacillati; Bacillota; Bacilli; Caryophanales; Bacillaceae.
AUCCUGGCUCAGGAUGAACGCUGGCGGCGUGCCUAAUACAUGCAAGUCGAGCGAAUGGAUUAAGAGCUUGCUCUUAUGAAGUUAGCGGCGGACGGGUGAGUAACACGUGGGUAACCUGCCCAUAAGACUGGGAUAACUCCGGGAAACCGGGGCUAAUACCGGAUAACAUUUUGAACCGCAUGGUUCGAAAUUGAAAGGCGGCUUCGGCUGUCACUUAUGGAUGGACCCGCGUCGCAUUAGCUAGUUGGUGAGGUAACGGCUCACCAAGGCAACGAUGCGUAGCCGACCUGAGAGGGUGAUCGGCCACACUGGGACUGAGACACGGCCCAGACUCCUACGGGAGGCAGCAGUAGGGAAUCUUCCGCAAUGGACGAAAGUCUGACGGAGCAACGCCGCGUGAGUGAUGAAGGCUUUCGGGUCGUAAAACUCUGUUGUUAGGGAAGAACAAGUGCUAGUUGAAUAAGCUGGCACCUUGACGGUACCUAACCAGAAAGCC